UAUUAGACAAAAAUCUGUCAACAAUAUUUAUGGUCAGUUUCCCUGAAGAAAGACUAUAUUUUAAAUGUACUAAAAGGGAAUUUUGUCAAAGUUUAGAAGUACACUAGCAUAUACUUGGCACCAGAGGUAGCAGACAUGGACGAAACACCACAAAACUCUCAUUUUGAGUUGUUUAAGUCUGAAAGGACACAUUUUAGCAGGCUGAUUCCAGAUAGUCUGUGGGGAAACAGGCUGUCAGGUUGUCAACAGAGAAACAUUUCUGUGUGAGUGAAGAAUAUCCAUGGUUUGGUGUGUCUGUGGGGAUCAUGAUUUGAAGCACAGCAGGUUGUCUACACAACUGUCCGGAAGAGGGAUGGCGAGCAAACGAUUGAGUAGAUGGAGUCAUCUGGAUUAUGUGUUCUUCCUGGUCCUGCUCCUGGUUUGCCGUCCAGUGACGUCAAACACAACUGUCACAACAACUAGCUUUUCACGCAUCACA
Rhinichthys klamathensis goyatoka is the source of this 478-nucleotide long non-coding RNA. RefSeq lists it as uncharacterized. The record is from RefSeq and is a predicted model, not a curated record. Lineage: Eukaryota; Metazoa; Chordata; Actinopteri; Cypriniformes; Leuciscidae. The transcript has 4 exons.